This 27-nucleotide non-coding RNA is filed under the name Rattus norvegicus (Norway rat). The record is from RNAcentral. Lineage: Eukaryota; Metazoa; Chordata; Mammalia; Rodentia; Muridae.
GGAACCUGAAAAGGUACAAGGCUUGCC